This 1397-nucleotide ribosomal RNA is filed under the name uncultured bacterium. RNAcentral describes it as "bacterial SSU rRNA". It matches the Rfam family "Bacterial small subunit ribosomal RNA". The record is from RNAcentral.
UUUGAUUCAUGGCUCAAGACGAACGCUGGCGGCGUGCUUAACACAUGCAAGUCGAACGAUGAAGCCUAGCUCGCUAGGCGGAUUAGUGGCGAACGGGUGAGUAAUACGUGAGUCGACCUACCUUUGACUCUGGGAUAAGCCUGGGAAACUGGGUCUAAUACCGGAUACGACCAAUCUCCGCAUGGGGUGUUUGGUGGAAAGCGUUAUGGAGUGGUUUUAGAUGGGCUCACGGCCUAUCAGCUUGUUGGUGAGGUAAUGGCUUACCAAGGCGACGACGGGUAGCCGGCCUGAGAGGGUGACCGGCCACACUGGGACUGAGACACGGCCCAGACUCCUACGGGAGGCAGCAGUGGGGAAUAUUGCACAAUGGGCGCAAGCCUGAUGCAGCGACGCCGCGUGAGGGAUGACGGCCUUCGGGUUGUAAACCUCUGUUAGCAUCGAAGAAGCGAAAGUGACGGUAGGUGCAGAGAAAGCGCCGGCUAACUACGUGCCAGCAGCCGCGGUAAUACGUAGGGCGCGAGCGUUGUCCGGAAUUAUUGGGCGUAAAGAGCUUGUAGGCGGUUGGUCGCGUCUGCUGUGAAAGGCUGGGGCUUAACCCUGGUUUUGCAGUGGGUACGGGCUAACUAGAGUGCAGUAGGGGAGACUGGAAUUCCUGGUGUAGCGGUGGAAUGCGCAGAUAUCAGGAGGAACACCGAUGGCGAAGGCAGGUCUCUGGGCUGUAACUGACGCUGAGAAGCGAAAGCAUGGGGAGCGAACAGGAUUAGAUACCCUGGUAGUCCAUGCCGUAAACGUUGGGCACUAGGUGUGGGGGACAUUCCACGUUUUCCGCGCCGUAGCUAACGCAUUAAGUGCCCCGCCUGGGGAGUACGGCCGCAAGGCUAAAACUCAAAGAAAUUGACGGGGGCCCGCACAAGCGGCGGAGCAUGCGGAUUAAUUCGAUGCAACGCGAAGAACCUUACCAAGGCUUGACAUAUACUGGACUGCGUCAGAGAUGGCGUUUCCCUUCGGGGCUGGUAUACAGGUGGUGCAUGGUUGUCGUCAGCUCGUGUCGUGAGAUGUUGGGUUAAGUCCCGCAACGAGCGCAACCCUCGUUCUAUGUUGCCAGCACGUGAUGGUGGGGACUCAUAGGAGACUGCCGGGGUCAACUCGGAGGAAGGUGGGGAUGGCGUCAAAUCAUCAUGCCCCUUAUGUCUUGGGCUUCACGCAUGCUACAAUGGCCGGUACAGAGGGUUGCGAUACUGUGAGGUGGAGCUAAUCCCUAAAAGCCGGUCUCAGUUCGGAUUGGGGUCUGCAACUCGACCCCAUGAAGUCGGAGUCGCUAGUAAUCGCAGAUCAGCAACGCUGCGGUGAAUACGUUCCCGGGCCUUGCACACACCGCCCGUCAAGGGGCGGAAAUU